Molecule: ribosomal RNA, 895 nt
Filed under: Myrmecridium banksiae
Lineage: Eukaryota; Fungi; Ascomycota; Sordariomycetes; Myrmecridiales; Myrmecridiaceae
Description: LSU rRNA
Rfam family: Eukaryotic large subunit ribosomal RNA
Source: RNAcentral
GCAUAUCAAUAAGCGGAGGAAAAGAAACCCAACAGGGAUUGCCCCAGUAACGGCGAGUGAAGCGGCAACAGCUCAAAUUUGAAAUCUGGCGCAAGCCCGAGUUGUAAUUUGCAGAGGAUGCUUUUGGUGCGGUGCCUUCUGAGUUCCCUGGAACGGGACGCCGGAGAGGGUGAGAGCCCCGUACAGUUGGACACCAAGCCUUUGUAAAGCUCCUUCGACGAGUCGAGUAGUUUGGGAAUGCUGCUCAAAAUGGGAGGUAAAUGCCUUCUAAAGCUAAAUACCGGCCAGAGACCGAUAGCGCACAAGUAGAGUGAUCGAAAGAUGAAAAGCACUUUGAAAAGAGGGUUAAAAAGUACGUGAAAUUGUUGAAAGGGAAGGGCUCGUGACCAGACUUGCGCCCGUCGGAUCAUCCGGCCUUCUGGCCGGUGCACUCCGGCGGGCUCAGGCCAGCAUCGGUUCUUCUGGGGGGACAAAAGCGGCGGGAACGUAGCUCCUCCGGGAGUGUUAUAGCCCGCCGCAGAAUACCCCCGGGGGGACCGAGGACCGCGCUUCGGCAAGGAUGCUGGCGUAAUGGUCACCAGCCACCCGUCUUGAAACACGGACCAAGGAGUCAAGCAUUAGGGCGAGUGUUUGGGUGUCAAACCCGCACGCGAAAUGAAAGUGAACGCAGGUGAGAGCUUCGGCGCAUCAUCGACCGAUCCUGAUGUUUUCGGAUGGAUUUGAGUAAGAGCCUUACCGCUUGGACCCGAAAGAUGGUGAACUAUGCUUGGGAUAGGGUGAAGCCAGAGGAAACUCUGGUGGAGGCUCGCAGCGGUUUCUGACGUGCAAAUCGAUCGUCAAAUCUGAGCAUGGGGGCGAAGACUAAUCGAAACCAUCUAGUAGCUGGGUACGCGAG